UAUUCUCACAGCAAAAAACAGCCUCAUUUGUAAAAUGUAAUCUCAAGAAAGAGAACUACACACAGAAUAAGCCAAGCCAGAAAAAAGUUGUACUUGCUACUACAAGAAGCCAUCUUGCAUGAUUAACUAGCUACCAGAUUGUUGAUUUUUAUUAACUCUCUGUCUCCUUGGCCACAGAAAAGAUAUUUUGAUCCCAAUGUCUUCUUUCAAGAAAAGCUGAGUGUGUCUUCCAUGGAUUUUCACUAAGCUCUCAUGUAAACAGAAGUGGUACUGGGAGGAGAAAAAACCACCAGACAGCAGAGAAGAAAACAACUUUGGAAAAUUCUUUCAGCCAUUUAUUAAUAAAUAUUUGUCCAAAAACCUACUAUGCAACAAGCCUGGUGCUGGCUUCUGGGGACAAAGCAGUAAACAAAUCAUACUCCUAGAACUGACAGCUUAAUUCUUGGAAGACACAUUAAAAAUGAUUGCACAUAUAACUAUAUAAUCACUACUGAGAAGUUUUAGUAAAAGAAAUCUGCAGGGUUCUAUGACAAUGAAACCUGCAACAAAAAUUCCAAGAAAAUAGCAAAACCCCAAGGAGAUCGCAGAAAGACCAGGAGAAGCAUUUUUAUGCUGACUUUAGAAACACCAGCAGAGCUAUAUUUCCAGGAUUUUUCAUUUUCUUAAAAAUCAAUAAUUAGAAACAGAAAACAGCUACGGUAAUUUCAAUAAAAUAUUGUAGAUAUAAUUUAUAGAUUUAAAU
This 742-nucleotide long non-coding RNA is filed under the name Bos indicus x Bos taurus (hybrid cattle). RNAcentral describes it as "lncRNA (ENSBIXG00005010082.1)". The record is from RNAcentral. Lineage: Eukaryota; Metazoa; Chordata; Mammalia; Artiodactyla; Bovidae.